RNAcentral lists this ribosomal RNA (254 nucleotides) under uncultured bacterium. RNAcentral's name for it is "partial 16S ribosomal RNA". It matches the Rfam family "Bacterial small subunit ribosomal RNA", at positions 524 to 776 of the family's 1533-position model. The record is from RNAcentral.
UACGAAUGGGGCUAGCGUUGCUCGGAAUUACUGGGCGUAAAGGGCUCGUAGGCGGCCAACUAAGUCAGACGUGAAAUCCCUCGGCUUAACCGGGGAACUGCGUCUGAUACUGGAUGGCUUGAGUUUGGGAGAGGGAUGCGGAAUUCCAGGUGUAGCGGUGAAAUGCGUAGAUAUCUGGAGGAACACCGGUGGCGAAGGCGGCAUCCUGGACCAACACUGACGCUGAGUGAGCGAAAGCCAGGGGAGCAAACGGG